CGCUGGCGGCGUGCCUAAUACAUGCAAGUCGAGCGAACGGACGAGAAGCUUGCUUUUCUGAUGUUAGCGGCGGACGGGUGAGUAACACGUGGAUAACCUACCUAUAAGACUGGGAUAACUUCGGGAAACCGGAGCUAAUACCGGAUAAUAUUUUGAACCGCAUGGUUCAAAAGUGAAAGACGGUCUUGCUGUCACUUAUAGAUGGAUCCGCGCUGCAUUAGCUAGUUGGUAAGGUAACGGCUUACCAAGGCAACGAUGCAUAGCCGACCUGAGAGGGUGAUCGGCCACACUGGAACUGAGACACGGUCCAGACUCCUACGGGAGGCAGCAGUAGGGAAUCUUCCGCAAUGGGCGAAAGCCUGACGGAGCAACGCCGCGUGAGUGAUGAAGGUCUUCGGAUCGUAAAACUCUGUUAUUAGGGAAGAACAUAUGUGUAAGUAACCGUGCACAUCUUGACGGUACCUAAUCAGAAAGCCACGGCUAACUACGUG
Molecule: ribosomal RNA, 491 nt
Filed under: uncultured bacterium
Lineage: Bacteria
Description: partial 16S ribosomal RNA
Rfam family: Bacterial small subunit ribosomal RNA
Source: RNAcentral